UACGAAGGGGGCUAGCGUUGUUCGGAAUUACUGGGCGUAAAGCGCACGUAGGCGGACUAUUAAGUCAGGGGUGAAAUCCCGGGGCUCAACCCCGGAACUGCCUUUGAUACUGGUAGUCUCGAGUCCGGAAGAGGUGAGUGGAAUUCCGAGUGUAGAGGUGAAAUUCGUAGAUAUUUGGAGGAACACCAGUGGCGAAGGCGGCUCACUGGUCCGGUACUGACGCUGAGGUGCGAAAGCGUGGGGAGCAAACAGG
This 253-nucleotide ribosomal RNA is filed under the name uncultured bacterium. RNAcentral describes it as "partial 16S ribosomal RNA". It matches the Rfam family "Bacterial small subunit ribosomal RNA", at positions 524 to 776 of the family's 1533-position model. The record is from RNAcentral.